GGUGGGGUACCGAAGCGGUCAAACGGGGCAGACUGUAAAUCUGUUGGCAUAGCCUUCGGAGGUUCGAAUCCUCCCCCCACCA
RNAcentral lists this transfer RNA (82 nucleotides) under Gemmatimonadota bacterium. Its description in RNAcentral is "tRNA-Tyr". It matches the Rfam family "tRNA". From Rfam's summary of the family: Transfer RNA (tRNA) molecules are approximately 80 nucleotides in length. Their secondary structure includes four short double-helical elements and three loops (D, anti-codon, and T loops). RNAcentral also lists the same sequence under 1 other name. Lineage: Bacteria; Pseudomonadati; Gemmatimonadota. The record is from RNAcentral.